This 460-nucleotide ribosomal RNA is filed under the name uncultured bacterium. RNAcentral's name for it is "partial 16S ribosomal RNA". It matches the Rfam family "Bacterial small subunit ribosomal RNA", at positions 338 to 795 of the family's 1533-position model. The record is from RNAcentral.
CCUACGGGAGGCAGCAGUGAGGAAUAUUGGUCAAUGGGCUUACGCCUGAACCAGCCAAGUCGCGUGAGGGAAGACUGCCCUAUGGGUUGUAAACCUCUUUUGUCAGGGAGCAAUUGGCGCUACGUGUAGCGUUAUCGAGAGUACCUGAAGAAAAAGCAUCGGCUAACUCCGUGCCAGCAGCCGCGGUAAUACGGAGGAUGCGAGCGUUAUCCGGAUUGAUUGGGUUUAAAGGGUGCGUAGGCGGAAUGCCAAGUCAGCGGUAAAAUCGCGGGGCUCAACCUCGCUCCGCCGUUGAUACUGGCGUUCUUGAGUGGGCGAGAAGUAUGCGGAAUGCGUGGUGUAGCGGUGAAAUGCAUAGAUAUCACGCAGAACUCCGAUGGCGAAGGCAGCAUACCGGCGCCCAACUGACGCUGAAGUACGAAAGCGUGGGUAUCGAACAGGAUUAGAUACCCUAGUAGUC